CCCCAAAUGAAUAAAUGGUUGGCUGGAGCAGAAGCAGAUGAUUCUCAUGGACGGACCAGCUAUGGAGCAUAAAGAAACCAAGAACACUGAUCUGAAGCUGUAUCCUGCAAAUGCUGAGCCCAUCGGUGAUCUGUAGGAGGCCCUCAGCAACCAUCAACCUCACAUGAGAAGGAAAGGGUAGAAUUUCCUGGAUGAUAAAGCUGGGAAAAGAUACAGCUCACGUGCACCAAGAACCAGAUAGACCCAGCAGGAUCUGAGAAAUCUCUAGUUCCUGAUCUCUGUCUACAUUUUGCUGGUGAAGGCAACAUCUGAGGCUGUGCCCAAACCACCCUCUCCUUCCUCCCCCAUAAGGAAGUACAGAAAUGGCAGCCCGUUUCCCAAGGGGGAAAACACAGUGCCUUCCCAUCAUUUGGCCUGGAGGCUCAGACCAGCUGUGCACAGCUGUGCACCAUCCCAGCAGCAGAAAGUCCAAGCUUGCUCUUUCUAUGUAAGGACUGAUGCCUUGGGCCUGAGCCUGUCCAGCAGCCACCAAGAUGGAGAGGCGUGAAGAAACCAGACCCUGUAUUUAAUCCCACCCUGGAUCUGUGCUUUCACCAGCACCAUCGCUCCAGCAUUGAACUGGAGAGGCUUCCACACAGACAAAAUUGUAAGAUAUAAUUACCUCUAUUAUCGAAAACAAAGGAGACACGUGCCAGUCUGAAAGAGUAAAGACAUAGCCUCAA
Tyto alba (common barn owl) is the source of this 722-nucleotide long non-coding RNA. RefSeq lists it as uncharacterized. Lineage: Eukaryota; Metazoa; Chordata; Aves; Strigiformes; Tytonidae. The record is from RefSeq and is a predicted model, not a curated record. The transcript is spliced from 4 exons.